GGCCCAGGAGGCCACUAAGUGAGGAAAAGCCUCCUGAUCGCCAUUUCCUGUGGAAUCUGAGGGUGAAUGGAAGGUGGAGGACCGUAUUCAUGGAAGAGGAUUGAACAGACUACUGAGUUCUUAAGAGAAGAAUGGCACUUAAGAAAUUGAUGGUGAUACCAAAGGAAGGUUACUUAUUACACUUGGACUUUGAUGAUGAGCACGAUGACAUAAAAGUUUCAGAGGAGGCUCUUUUGGAAGUUUGAAGAAUUUUGGUCUUAGGUCUCCAUGUGUAAGACCCUGAAGAUGGACCUCCUCUCAAGUCCAUUAAAGUCCUCAGAUGAGA
This 325-nucleotide long non-coding RNA is filed under the name Mus musculus (house mouse). RNAcentral describes it as "predicted gene 29023". Lineage: Eukaryota; Metazoa; Chordata; Mammalia; Rodentia; Muridae. The record is from RNAcentral.